GGCGAUCAGAUACCGCCCUAGUUCUAACCGUAAACGAUGACAACCAGCGAUUAAUCGGCGUUAAUAUACGACCCGAUUAGCAGCUUCAGGGAAACCAAAGUUUUUCGUUUCCGGGGGAAGUAUGGUUGCAAAGCUGAAACUUAAAGGAAUUGACGGAAGGGCACCACCAGGAGUGGAGCCUGCGGCUUAAUUUGACUCAACACGGGAAAACUCACCCGGCCCGGACACUGUAAGGAUUGACAGACUGAGAGCUCUUUCUUAAUUCAGUGGGUGGUGGUGCAUGGCCGUUCUUAGUUGGUGGAACGAUUUGUCUGGUUAAUUCCGAUAACGAACGAGACUCUGGCCUAUUAAAUAGACGAGGUAUUUACAUAGUAUCUCGCGCUUCUUAAAGGGACAAGCGGCGUCUAGUCGCAUGAAAAAGAGCAAUAACAGGUCUGUGAUGCCCUUAAAUGUCCGGGGCUGCACGCGCGCUACACUGAAAGAAUCAGCGUGCAUUUUAACCUAGUCCGGAAGGACCGGGUAACCCGAGUAAAUUCUUUCGUGCUUGGGAUAGGGAAUUGCAAUUAUUUCCCUUAAACGAGGAAUUCCCAGUAAAUGCGGGUCAUAAGCUCGCGUUGAUUACGUCCCUGCCCUUUGUA
RNAcentral lists this ribosomal RNA (638 nucleotides) under cf. Eudorylaimus silvaticus HC 03Bin-83. RNAcentral describes it as "SSU rRNA". It matches the Rfam family "Eukaryotic small subunit ribosomal RNA", at positions 1003 to 1664 of the family's 1831-position model. The record is from RNAcentral. Lineage: Eukaryota; Metazoa; Nematoda; Enoplea; Dorylaimida; Qudsianematidae.